This 636-nucleotide ribosomal RNA is filed under the name Euryhaliotrema triangulovagina. RNAcentral's name for it is "partial 16S ribosomal RNA". The stretch from base 446 to 636 matches the Rfam family "Bacterial large subunit ribosomal RNA", at positions 2049 to 2531 of the family's 2925-position model. The record is from RNAcentral. Lineage: Eukaryota; Metazoa; Platyhelminthes; Monogenea; Dactylogyridea; Ancyrocephalidae.
UGUGAUAAAUUAGUCGGGGAAGUUGAUAACUAAUUACUGAUGAAAAAAAAUGUCAAUACUAUUGGCGUAGAGGUCUGUAGUAAGGUAGUAAAAUAUAUUUUUUUUUAUAAAUAGGGUUUAAAAGUAACCACGUUAAAUAGGUAUUAUAACCAAAAAGUUGAGAUAAUAUUUUCUAGUGAAAGUCAGUAAAUAAAAUUUGAGUCACGUUUAAUAUGUUAUAAUAAGUAGUUAAAUAUUUAAUUAAUUUCUCGUUUUAAUCCGAACUGUUUAUUAAAAACAUUUCUAUAAAAAUAUAUUUAUAGUAGGACCUGCUCAAUGUUUAAUAAAUAGCCGCAGUAUCUUGACUGUGCUAAGGUAGCAUAAUUAAUUGUCUCUUAAAUAGGGAAUUGUUUGAAUGGUUGUUUUGGAUUAUAAAAUAUUAAUUAAAUUUUAUCGAAAUUAGUUAUUGAGUAAAGAACCUCAAAUUAAAAUAAUAGACGGAAAGACCCCGAGAGCUUGAUUAAAUUUUAUUUGGGGCAAAAUCCUUUUUUUAAAGGAAAUUUGAACCUAUUGGGUUUAUUGGUUAAGUUACCUCGGGGAUAACAGGGUUAGAAGUAAGGAGAGUUCAUAUCGAUUUACUUAGUUGCUACCUCGAUG